AUGCAUCUAUUUGGCAGAUCUGGAGUAGUUUCUGCUGCUAAGGUUUCCACUACAGAUGCAAGAAAAAAAUGUCCUCGCACUUUCUGUCUGUCUGAUUGUGGCAGCCAAAAUUGAAUAGAGAAAUAUAGGG
This 130-nucleotide small nucleolar RNA is filed under the name Carlito syrichta (Philippine tarsier). RNAcentral describes it as "Small nucleolar RNA SNORA31 (ENSTSYG00000024665.2)". It matches the Rfam family "Small nucleolar RNA SNORA31". From Rfam's summary of the family: ACA31 (SNORA31) belongs to the H/ACA class of snoRNAs which are thought to guide the sites of modification of uridines to pseudouridines. ACA31 is predicted to guide the pseudouridylation of U3713 in 28S rRNA and U218 in 18S rRNA. This family includes the mouse homologue snoMBI-161. The record is from Rfam by way of RNAcentral. Lineage: Eukaryota; Metazoa; Chordata; Mammalia; Primates; Tarsiidae.